RNAcentral lists this long non-coding RNA (527 nucleotides) under Homo sapiens (human). Its description in RNAcentral is "HSALNT0343383". Lineage: Eukaryota; Metazoa; Chordata; Mammalia; Primates; Hominidae. The record is from RNAcentral.
ACUUCUGAAAGAUUCCAUCUGUAAAUACCAUCGCGCUGGGGGUUAGGGCUUCAACAUAUGAAUAUUGCGGGGACACAGACAUUCAAUCCAUAAUAGCAAGUUUCAGUGGAUUUCAGAAGCCCCUAAGGCAGAAAAGCAAAAGCACCUUAUUUUUUGUCCACUUGACCUGUGUCUUAUGUUGGACUGAAAUGUAGGUCUCCUAAUUUUAGUGUAGUUUUGUAUAUUUCUCCCUAUAUAUCUUUAACUUUCUGAUAUAUAAAGGUAGCUGAAAUACAACAUCAUAAUUUUUACUGGAAAAUAGCCACAAUGAAGGAACACCACAAUUUCACCAUGAAAACCAGCACAACCUUACACAGAUGACAAACAUUUCCCCUCAAAACUUGUUAAACUGUAUUUGGGCUGACCAAAUUAACCAGAGUUAUUCUAUUUAUGGGGGAGCAGGAAGUAACUUGAUAAAAUGCUUUGAGUUUAUAUAUCAUGUCAAAUAAAUAGCAUAAUUUUAAAGGAAAAAAACUUGUUAGGCAAUG